CCCGUGAGCAUCAUCACUCGUCGAUGUCGGGAAACCGCCGUACCAGCAUCGUCGGAGGCCUCGGCCCUGCAUGCCCUCGUUCUCUACUCUCCAGCUCGGAUCGAGCUAAACAACCUCCGUAGCUGGAAUCAAGGCUUCACGAUGCAUCAAAGCCAUAGACCCUCAGCCUCCGAUUUCGGCCAGAGCCCCCGCACGCGUCUCACGCGCCACCGCUGGCACGUGAGCCAACCUAGCGUCACCGUGAGCACCACCAGCUUAUUCUCUUCGUUCGGUAAGCUGGAUUCUAUCCCUUCUUCUUAGUGAGGCUUCUACUUUGAUCUAGAUUGAGAACCCUAACUCGAUUUCUUAAUUUGAAAUCUGUGAAGAUUUUGGAAUAUGUGUUCUGGAGGUUUUGGAGGAAGGGAGGUCUGCAAAAUUGUAAGCCUUCGGAGAAGAGAAGUGCUGGGUCAGUUCCAUUUGUAUUGAGGAAAGGUGCCCAAAGCAAUUGUUGGAGCUGGAUUGCAGCAAUUGGAUUUAGCCCUCAGUUUGGAGAAGAAGAAAUGGACCCGAGCGUGUGCAUUUGGAAGUGGACAAAGUGUUGAAAGUCGAGAACGAACCCGAAUGUGGGCAAGCACUCCAAUUCCAGUGUGCAGGUUUCGAGCAUGUGGUCGGGAAGCGUACAGGGGAGGCACAUGGCACGGCUUGGCGCAUUUCUCUUUAGUUUUAUCAAAAGAAGGUUUUGGUCCUUAAUCGGAUUUUGUAGUAGCUAGUUUAUUUACUUUUUAUUUAUUUCCUACUCGUUUACAAAAAAAUUCCGGGA
This is a long non-coding RNA of Rosa rugosa (rugosa rose), 799 nucleotides long. RefSeq lists it as uncharacterized. The transcript has 4 exons. The record is from RefSeq and is a predicted model, not a curated record. Lineage: Eukaryota; Viridiplantae; Streptophyta; Magnoliopsida; Rosales; Rosaceae.